UCCUAAUCGGAGGGUUACACUUCACACCAUCGCAUUGUUAGAUAUGUAAGUAGAUCGCGUGUCGAAAGAUCAAGUUCAAGGUGAAAUUAUAUUCCGCUAUUAAGACCAAAAACUUAUAUAACUGCAAUCGGCUACGAUGGAAGCACGCUCAGUAAAAUUUCAAAUUCAUGUUUUUCCAAAUUUAUAAGAUAAAAAUUAACCUCAGGGCACAAGGUGCAUAGAAUAAUAGACAUGCAUACACACAUAUUUUCAUGUGUAUCUACACUUUACAUAAUUAAUUCAGCAUUACCUUUGGAUGCAUAUUGUUCAGCAGGACUCCAAAUUGUUGACACGAUCUGCGUGCAAAAUAUGAGACGCCCCGAUUUUUUAAUCUGGCUCACGAUAAAUAUAUCUAAAACCGGAUAUGAACACGAAUUUUUAUAUAAAUUUAGGUACAUAUUUCCUUUGAGUUAUUACACAAUGGCUGAAAAGAAUUACUAACCUUAUUCAACAAAUUAGACAUUAUGCAAUUUACUAUUUAAGUGAACGUUUUCCCAGUAAUUUUGUACAGAUUCCCUUCACCAAGGAAAACCAAAUACAUUUUUUUUUCAAAAACUGAAAAUCUGUCACCAUGUAUCGGUUAUCAUUCAUCUCCUCCUUGGUGCUUCUGGUACUGGUUUCCGCAACGUCGGCGGAAGAAAAGGUGCAAGGGAAAAAGGGCAAACAGGUGAACGUGACCUGCAAGGGCGAACCCGUGAAUUUGAAACCAUUGCUCGUGGGUGAGAAGGAAUGUUACCAAGAAACCUUUGGAACCAGUACGCCCAACCCAACCACCACUCGGGAAGAAAUGGUCAAGAAAUGGAAUGAAAACGAAGCGUGUUUGAGGGUGUGCGUCUACAAAAAGUAAAAGAUGCUGAAUGCUGACGGGACUUACAAUGCAGAUGAGGCUGAAAAAUUACUGAAAGCUGCUUUCCCCACUGCAGUUCAAGCCACGCUGAAAAAGGCUGUCGAUGACUGUGCAUCUGCCAACGCUAAGACCUUCAGCUUGGACAAUAAAUGUGCUGGAUACCAGGCUUUCAACGAUUGUAAAUCGAAGAAGUACGCAGAGAUUUGCAAAUUCAAAACGGAAGAAUGAGUCGAGACAGUUUAAACCCUAGUUUAUCAUUUCAAUCGUGUGAUUCAUGUCAUAUUUCAUUAAACUUGUAUAAUCCUGGGUAUAAAUA
Folsomia candida is the source of this 1202-nucleotide RNA transcript. RefSeq lists it as uncharacterized. Lineage: Eukaryota; Metazoa; Arthropoda; Collembola; Entomobryomorpha; Isotomidae. The transcript has 6 exons. The record is from RefSeq and is a predicted model, not a curated record.